RNAcentral lists this ribosomal RNA (483 nucleotides) under uncultured bacterium. RNAcentral's name for it is "partial 16S ribosomal RNA". It matches the Rfam family "Bacterial small subunit ribosomal RNA", at positions 28 to 523 of the family's 1533-position model. The record is from RNAcentral.
GAUGAACGCUGGCGGCGUGCUUAACACAUGCAAGUCGAACGGAAAUAGAAGGAAGCCUAGCGAAUUCUAUUUUAGUGGCGGACGGGUGAGUAACGCGUGGGUAACCUGCCUUGUACUGGGGAUAACACUUCGAAAUAGGUGCUAAUACCGCAUAAGCAUACGAAGUCGCAUGACUUUGUGUGAAAAACUCUGGUGGUACAAGAUGGACCCGCGUCUGAUUAGCUAGUUGGUGAGGUAAUGGCUCACCAAGGCGACGAUCAGUAGCCGGCCUGAGAGGGUGAACGGCCACAUUGGGACUGAGACACGGCCCAAACUCCUACGGGAGGCAGCAGUGGGGAAUAUUGCACAAUGGGCGAAAGCCUGAUGCAGCGACGCCGCGUGAGUGAAGAAGUAUUUCGGUAUGUAAAGCUCUAUCAGCAAGGAAGAAAAUGACGGUACUUGACUAAGAAGCCCCGGCUAACUACGUGCCAGCCGCCGCGGUAA